AUGUAUACUGGUAUUCUUGAUGAAAGUUUCUCCUUAAACACUGUCUGUCAUUGCCUCUGCACAGGCUCCGCCCUCCAAGGCAAUCCAUGCUCGCCCAUAGGAUUUGUCAGAGAGCCCUCAAUCCAAACGUCCUUCCUGGUUCCAGCAGGAUUCCUUGUGCCCAUUAGGGAAACCAGAAGGAUUGUCCCUGUUUAUUUGCUAUCAGAGAGGCCUUUGAACUCCAGGAAAGCUGCCAUCUUGUUUUUGCUCACUCCUCGUAUGCUUAGUGUCUGCAGCAUGAAACACUGGUUUUGCUGGAAGUCUUCUUUCCAAAGAAAUCCAUGUACCAGGCCAGUGUUCCUGCAUGCUAUGAAGAUCCCAAAUGAUACUAGCUGUCUUCGUGGGAACUGGAAAAGCACAGACACUUCUCAAAGUAAUUUCUACAAUGAAGAGUUUAUGUGAGGUUGAAGCAUUAGACCAAACAAACUUUCCUAGAACUAUGAAGUAACAACAGUAUGUUUCUCAAAGGCUUACUCUAUUUCAAUGCCAGUUACUCAAUCAAAAAUACAUUUUGUUGGGCAUGUUCUAAACGAUGAUUUCUAUUCUUUUCUAACCACUUCCAAUGUCAAAAUGAACAAAAGGAUGAAAGCAUGGUAAUGUGGAAUGCACAGGCUGCACAACACCAGGCAUGACCCUAACGGGGCCCAGGACUCUCGAUGACAUCAGGUCAGCGUAGCUCACCGGCUGCGACACACAGCCCUCUGCGGUGUGGGACUUUGGUAAAGGGGGCACCCUGUGCCUAUGACUGGCCAGGGGCAUAUAGGAAAUCUCUGCUCCCUUCCUCUCAUGUUUGCUAUAAACCUGAACAAAACUAAUCUAAAAAUGGUCUUUAAAAAUAUUCAAAAUGGGAUCACACAAAGUGAGUUUAGCUUAUAGUUAAAGGAACAGAAUGCUCAGGGUAGCUCUAGAGAGUUCACUGAUUCUGUUUGCAAUCCUCCAAUCUAAAAGUCGCUAAGAAAUGAGCAUUGACUUUUGUGUGAAUGGUGAGAAGCAACCCAGCAGCCAGUCUGAUCUAACUUGAACCCAUGUAUAGCAAAAUGACCCCAAACUGACAUGGGGUAUGCACAGUUGUUAUUUAUCCCACUUAGUGUGAGUGUUCACACAUGUUUUUGCAGUCAUAUUAAUGGAUGUCCCUGUAGGCCCCACUGGUGAUGGCAGAUAAUAUAUGGAUAUGUGACCAUAUUAUCUUCCAAAUUCCUAACAGUCCUUACCAAAUACAUCUCACACCAAAAGGCCAAGGAAUUGUGGAACAAAUGCAUUAGAAGUUAGAAAGCAGGGAAGGAAGAAAAGAAAGUGGAAAAUAGUGGGUUCUGUUCUUUCCCAUCCCUGAUUGCUUUAGGAGAUGUCAGUCUUAGAGUUUCAUGCGGAUACUUCUUAUAAUGCUCACUUUUUAAUCGAAAUUUAUUUUCAGUAGUAAAGUGCAAAAACCUAGUAAUAUAAUUGUGACACCCAUUCAGAUUGCCUUAAAGGUUUUAUAUGAAUGAAUGCGUGUAGCUCCUGGUUUUGCUUGCUUAUUUGUGUGAGUCCACUCCAACAAAGUAGCCCAUAAAUCUUUCUUUCCUCUCAUUCUGGAUGGAAAUGCAAGAAAUGUGAGGCUAAAGCUUUAAAGCGUAAAUUAUACUCACAUGAAUGAAAUGAAUGACUGGGAAGGAAGGAAGAAAAGAAGGAAGGAAGGAAAGAGGAAAGGAGGGAGGGAGGGAAGGAGGGAAGGGAUGGAGGGAGGGAAGGGAGGAAGGAGGAAGUGAGUAAGGGGGGGGCAAGGAAGGAAAAAGAGAGAAAGGAAAAAGGGGAAGAGGGAGGAAGGAAUGGAAGGAGGAGGAUAUUCAUUCUGUAGGCUCCAUAUUAUAGUGAUCCACAGCACUUGAGAAAUCUGAAAAGAAACAAUGUCAUAGGCACAUUCCAAUAUUCCAAAACUGCAAUCCAAUUACGUAGAAGUAUAAAUUUAAAUCCAAUUCAUUUGGGAGAAGACACUUAAAUAUCCUAUAUUUUUGUUUACAGCUGAUAUCUAUAAAAUCUGCUACAUUACAUAGAUCCGUAUUAUGGAGAUUAUAUACACAAAUAUCUUAUUACUUAUGCAUAAAACAUGAUUUGUUGGGGGAUAUAAGCCCUGGCUUUCUCAGGUAUCACUGCUACUUGAUUGUUCUGAGUAUUGGCUUUCUGACAGGGUUUGGAAUGAAGCCAUUUUUAUUAAUUUAGUUAUUUUUGCUGAUAUAAAAGGCCGUCUAUCACGUUAAUGAUGUAUCGGUCUGCGGUCCCACCGAACAAUAAUUACAGAAUGUUCCUAAUAGUAAAUCAUUUGUCACAAUCACAGCUCAGUGCAACAACCCUUGUGAAGCAGGAGAAGACAUUAUCUGAAUAGCAAUACACCUUUAUGAGAACCGAUUAGAGGGACCCUAUACAGAGCACGGGCCAAGAGCUUUCAGUCCAGAGCUGUCUUUCCCCAAACCUCAGCUUAGUGACCUGCUCACUUUUCCCCAAGGUUAGCCUUUUAGACACAAUCAAAUGCAACCUUCUGCUUUUAAAUGAUCAUGUUGCAGGAAGACAAAAACACAGGUUUUAUGAAGCAUUUUCAAUGGAAAUUGUAAGUAAAGCUUAUACUGAGGAAAAUGAUGCAGGGGUGCACACCUCCUGCUUCUCAAUUUUCUUUCUGUUUUAAGAAAACAUGGGUAGAAAUCCUAUUUCUGUCCCGGAGUGAAUCUGUAAACUUCAAAUUAGUGUUAAAUGAGAUAGCUUCUUGUAAGUGCCCUCUUCCUACAGACACUCAGAACUUCUUUUAUUAUCUGGAAUUCUAGAGGUAUCCAAGGAUACCAGCAAGCAAGCUGUACUUACUUUCCUAGUGUUAAAUUGAAAAUGCAAUUAAAUCGUGCAGUGGAAUGCAUUUUAUUUUUUAAAAAAAUUAUUUCUUUAUUUGAAAUGCAGAGUUAUGGAGAGAGGGAGAGGGAGAGGGCGGGAAAAGGAGAGGGAGACAGAGAGGGAGGAGAGGGAGAGAAAAAGAGAUAGAUUUUCCAUCCACUGGUUCACGCCCCAAAUGGCCACAAUGACCGGGGGAAGCCAAGAGCCAGUAGUUUCACCUGGGUCUCCUUUGUGGGUGGCAGAGGCCCAGGCACUUGGGCCAUCUUCUGCUGCUUUGCCAGGUGCAUUAGCAGGGAGCCAGAUUGGAAGUGGAGCGGCCGGACACGCGCCCAUAUGUGAUGUUGGUACUGCAUGCAGCAGCUUAAUCCGCUAUGCCACAAUGCUAGCUCCAAAUACAUGUGUUCUUACGGGUUCUUGACAGCCACAGAUAACAAGAAAGAAGUCCUUGACCAACACUGGAGGUCAGAUUGCAGUGACUCGUGGAGGACCAGAAAGGUGGCUUUUGCUGAGCCCUUGCCGUCUCCUUCCCUCACAUUGACCACAGAACCUGGAUGCAGAAAUUAGCUGCUGCUUUCAGAGAAACCCGGUUCAAGCACACACGCAUCCUUGACACUGACACACACUGUUUUUCCAAAGGGGAGAAGUCUUGUAAAAAAAAAAAAAAGAAUCAAAUGGCUUCCUCUUGCCCCAACCCUGCUGUCCCUUACCCCUAUGUUCUGUCCAGAAGAAAAAUCCCUCAGCCGCAAUGGUUGUUUUUAUUAAAUUCUCCUCAAUAAAAAGCUCAGGCAGGAUUUAUUAGGUACUCA
Oryctolagus cuniculus (rabbit) is the source of this 3698-nucleotide long non-coding RNA. Lineage: Eukaryota; Metazoa; Chordata; Mammalia; Lagomorpha; Leporidae. The record is from Ensembl.